This 791-nucleotide ribosomal RNA is filed under the name uncultured bacterium. Its description in RNAcentral is "bacterial SSU rRNA". It matches the Rfam family "Bacterial small subunit ribosomal RNA", at positions 97 to 879 of the family's 1533-position model. The record is from RNAcentral.
GGCGGACGGGGGAGUAACACGUGGGCAACCUUCUUCAUAGAGGGGAAUAGCCUUCCGAAAGGGAGAUUAAUACCGCAUAAGAUUGUAGUACCGCAUGGUACAGCAUUAAAAGGAGUAAUCCGCUAUGAGAUGGGCCCGCGGCGCAUUAGCUAGAUGGUAAGGUAACGGCUUACCAUGGCCAUGAUGCAUAGCCGACCUGAGAGGGUGAUCGGCCACAUUGGGACUGAGACACGGCCCAAACUCCUACGGGAGGCAGCAGUAGGGAAUCUUCCGCAAUGGACGCAAGUCUGACGGAGCAACGCCGCGUGUGUGAAGAAGGUCUUCGGAUCGUAAAGUACUGUUGUUAGAGAAGAACACCCGGUAGAGUAACUGUUACCGGCAUGACGGUAUCUAACCAGAAAGCCACGGCUAACUACGUGCCAGCAGCCGCGGUAAUACGUAGGUGGCAAGCGUUGUCCGGAUUUAUUGGGCGUAAAGGGAGCGCAGGUGGUGACUUAAGUCUGAUGUGAAAGCCCACGGCUCAACCGUGGAGGGUCAUUGGAAACUGGGUCACUUGAGUACAGAAGAGGAAAGUGGAAUUCCAUGUGUAGCGGUGAAAUGCGUAGAUAUAUGGAGGAACACCAGUGGCGAAGGCGACUUUCUGGUCUGUGACUGACACUGAGGCUCGAAAGCGUGGGGAGCAAACAGGAUUAGAUACCCUGGUAGUCCACGCCGUAAACGAUGAGUGCUAAGUGUUGGAGGGUUUCCACCCUUCAGUGCUGGAGUAACGCAAUAAGCACUCCGCCUGGGGA